CCUACGGGGGGCUGCAGUCGAGAAUCAUUCACAAUGGGGGAAACCCUGAUGGUGCGACGCCGCGUGGGGGAAUGAAGGUCUUCGGAUUGUAAACCCCUGUCAUGUGGGAGCAAAUUAAAAAGAUAGUACCACAAGAGGAAGAGACGGCUAACUCUGUGCCAGCAGCCGCGGUAAUACAGAGGUCUCAAGCGUUGUUCGGAAUCACUGGGCGUAAAGGGUGCGUAGGCUGUUACGUAAGUCGUGUGUGAAAGGCGCGGGCUCAACCCGCGGACGGCACAUGAUACUACGAGACUAGAGUAAUGGAGGGGAAAGCGGAAUUCUCGGUGUAGCAGUGAAAUGCGUAGAUAUCGGGAGGAACACUCGUGGCGAAGGCGGGUUCCUGGACAUUAACUGACGCUGAGGCACGAAGGCCAGGGGAGCGAAAGGGAUUAGAUACCCCGGUAGUC
RNAcentral lists this ribosomal RNA (446 nucleotides) under uncultured bacterium. Its description in RNAcentral is "partial 16S ribosomal RNA". It matches the Rfam family "Bacterial small subunit ribosomal RNA", at positions 338 to 795 of the family's 1533-position model. The record is from RNAcentral.